AAAAUCCGUCGACUUUAGAAAUCGUGAGGGUUCAG
RNAcentral lists this transfer RNA (35 nucleotides) under Lathyrus pratensis (meadow pea). RNAcentral describes it as "partial tRNA-Leu". Lineage: Eukaryota; Viridiplantae; Streptophyta; Magnoliopsida; Fabales; Fabaceae. The record is from RNAcentral.